This 228-nucleotide long non-coding RNA is filed under the name Phaseolus vulgaris (common bean). RNAcentral's name for it is "long non-coding RNA (PVUL_LNC000134)". The record is from RNAcentral. Lineage: Eukaryota; Viridiplantae; Streptophyta; Magnoliopsida; Fabales; Fabaceae.
AAAGUUUAAGAUAAGGAAGACUCUCAAUCAUGCGUUCAAGUACAACCUCUGACAAAAACCAGUUUUCCAGGAGAUUAGACAAUAAAAACAACUGCUAUAGAGAAUUAAAAAUUGAAACUUUUAUUGAACAAAACCUCAGAACUCAAUGGGGAAUUACAAAAGAAUCAACCAAAAAGGUUUAGCCUUCCAUGCGGAGGCAAAACAAAAGAAUUACUAAGAAGAAAAUAA